Molecule: long non-coding RNA, 1245 nt
Filed under: Homo sapiens (human)
Lineage: Eukaryota; Metazoa; Chordata; Mammalia; Primates; Hominidae
Description: HSALNT0111776
Source: RNAcentral
UUCUCCUUUGCUCUCUUUAUAGAAAUGAUUGUAUCAAUUUAAGAAUGUUAUUCUUCCACACUUAAGAAUUAGUUUCACAAGUUCCUCCAAAGGUUUGGCUAGAUAUUUCUUUGUUAUUACAUUUAAUGCACAGAUUAAUUUGUAGGGAAAUUUGUAGUGUUACAUUAUAAUGCUAAGUUGUCUCAUCCAUUAACUUAUCACUUGAUUUUCUUCAGGUCUUCUUUAAUUAACUUCUAACAGAAUUUUAAAUUUUGGCCCUAAAGGCUAUGUGCAUUCUCAGUGAGACUAAUUUCUAGAUAAUUUAUAGAUUUUUGUUUUAUGUAAAUGGUAUUGAAUUUUCUACUAUGUUUUAUUUAUUGAUUAAAGAUUGUGUAAAGUAGUGAUUCUCAGUCUACUUGAAAAUAAGUUAUUCGGGCAGCUUUUAAAAGAUAAGGAUGCUUCGAUCAUCUUCCUGAUCAAUUCAAUCAGAAUUGAGUCUACAUUAACUUUAUACACAGUUGACCCUUGAACAGCACAACAGGACUGCAGUUGUGCACUUCUAUGUAGAUUCUGUUCAACAAAGCACCGAUGGAAAAUACAGCAUUUACAAGAUGAGAAACCCGAGUACACAGAGGAUCAAUCUUUGGUAUAACACGAGUUCCACAAGGCUAACUGUGGCAUUUGGAUACUAUGACUCAUUUAUUCAGAAGUCGCUUGGUUACCUAUGUGUUUGGCGUGGGGCUGGACUACCAGCUUGGACUAACUUAGAAAACUGGGAAAAGAACCAACUUGCCUCAAAAACAAUUUCUCCUCUUUCUCUUUAUCCUUUUUCCUCUAUUUAGACUGCUACAUUAAUAAUGAACCUAAGCUACAGAUAAACAGAAUUCAAUCACUGUGGCCAAAAGACAGGAACUUAGCUGUGGUCAGUCUCCCACAUCUGAUGUCCUCGUGGUAGAGUUCAGGGUUAGAGACUAAGCUGAAAGGAAGGAUGGGACUAGGAAGAAUUGCAUAAUCAGACCUGCCAUAUCCACACACAAAUGGCCAAGUCCAGCCAGAAAUCUUCACAGCUGUUUGAAUAAUAAAGUGGAUAAAUGAGAAGAGGCUUCAGUAAGUUAGAUCAAGCAAGUUCUCAGUACCCAGAGCUAUACUGGGAAAAGCCGUUAGAUAAUGAUAACCAAAUGUAUUUUCCUUGACUGUUCUAUAGGAUUCAGGAGUGUUACUAAAUUGUGCCUCCAAAUCUUAAAAAUAAAAGCCUCAAAAUCUAUG